GCCGGUAAGGUGAUAUGAACCGUUAUAACCGGCGAUUUCCGAAUGGGGAAACCCAGUGUGACUCGUCACACUAUCAUUAACUGAAUCCAUAGGUUAAUGAGGCGAACCGGGGGAACUGAAACAUCUAAGUACCCCGAGGAAAAGAAAUCAACCGAGAUUCCCCCAGUAGCGGCGAGCGAACGGGGAGGAGCCCAGAGCCUGAAUCAGCAUGUGUGUUAGUGGAAGCGUCUGGAAAGGCGCGCGAUACAGGGUGACAGCCCCGUACACAAAAGCGCAUGUGCUGUGAGCUCGAUGAGUAGGGCGGGACACGUGGUAUCCUGUCUGAAUAUGGGGGGACCAUCCUCCAAGGCUAAAUACUCCUGACUGACCGAUAGUGAACCAGUACCGUGAGGGAAAGGCGAAAAGAACCCCGGCGAGGGGAGUGAAAAAGAACCUGAAACCGUGUACGUACAAGCAGUGGGAGC
Molecule: ribosomal RNA, 464 nt
Filed under: Salmonella enterica subsp. enterica serovar Kentucky
Lineage: Bacteria; Pseudomonadati; Pseudomonadota; Gammaproteobacteria; Enterobacterales; Enterobacteriaceae
Description: bacterial LSU rRNA
Rfam family: Bacterial large subunit ribosomal RNA
Source: RNAcentral